GUCUCACUGCAUGCCUGUAGUGCCAGCUACUCAGGAGACUGAGGUGGGAGGAUCUCUUGAGCCCAGGAGGUCGAGGUGGCAGUGGCCCAUGAUUGCAUCACUGUACUCAGUCUGUCUGCACUACCAUUGUGAGCUGUUAACACUCACUGUGAAGGUCUGCAAAGGUCUGCGGCUUCACUCCUGAAGUCAGCAAGACCACAAACCCACCAGAAAGAAGAAAUUCCAGACACAUCUGAACAUCUGAAGG
This 247-nucleotide long non-coding RNA is filed under the name Homo sapiens (human). RNAcentral describes it as "non-protein coding lnc-DLGAP5-3:1". The record is from RNAcentral. Lineage: Eukaryota; Metazoa; Chordata; Mammalia; Primates; Hominidae.